GGAAACGUGCCUGAUACUAAGGGUUGCCUUGAUGCGGCAAACAUAGAGACUUUAAACCUCUCGUCUCCC
This 69-nucleotide transfer RNA is filed under the name Uromastyx benti (Yemeni spiny-tailed lizard). Lineage: Eukaryota; Metazoa; Chordata; Lepidosauria; Squamata; Agamidae. The record is from RNAcentral.